This 812-nucleotide long non-coding RNA is filed under the name Eutrema salsugineum. Its description in RNAcentral is "long non-coding RNA (ESAL_LNC000570)". Lineage: Eukaryota; Viridiplantae; Streptophyta; Magnoliopsida; Brassicales; Brassicaceae. The record is from RNAcentral.
AACCUAACUAAUCAAGCAUUCAAAUAGCAACAUCAUUAGCUAUGACCAAACUUUGUUUUAGGACGGCUCUUCUUCUCGCCCUUUUGAUGAUGUCCUUCUCUUGUAAGUAUAUGCCAUUUCUGAUUUGCAAUUAAUAUAAUGGUUCCAGGUUUUGCAUAGUUUAUAACCAAAUACACAAUUGAGUGGAAUUGUAAUGUAUGUUUAAGAUCCUGCAAGUUUAAAGAAUUAAAACAAAUUCACGUUUGCAAAGCAAAUCACGAUAUUAUAAUUUUUUUUUGUUUUUAACUCUUGAUAAUUUCCGGAAUCUGCUAUGUCACGAUGUCGUCAAUCACAACUAUGAUCAAUGUAACACGUCUAAGUAACUAAUUUGUGAAAAUAUCAUAUAUAUGUAUAUUAUUUUUUGAAUUGAUGUAUAUUAUAUUAUGUUAUAAUUUGAUAUCUUUUUUUUUAAAUAAUUUGAAGAUCAAAGUAAAACAAUCGAAGCUAGGGGGGACAGUGGAGAGCCUUCGGAGAUGACUUUAGCAGUGCAAAUGUCAUUGUUAAGGCAGUGCAAAGAAGCCAACAAAGACUGUCCCCUGAGGAAUGGUUGUUUUGUUAAUCUCCUUGGUGACAAAUGUAAUUGCCAAUGUCCCAAACCUGAUCAUUCUCCUACUUCUCUCGAUUGUAAUGAAUUUGGAAAAUGUCCUAGACCAUAAACUCCUACUCCUUCAAAAGUAUAAAGAAAGAAAAUUGUUGAAUUUUAAACUAGUCAUGAAUUUCUGAGAGAUAUCUUCGCCUUAUGAUAGAAGAGAAGUUCAGUUAUUUUGGUUCUA